GACGUAGGGCGCGAGCGUUGUCCGGAUUUAUUGGGCGUAAAGAGCUCGUAGGCGGUUUGUCGCGUCUGCUGUGAAAUCCCGAGGCUCAACCUCGGGCUUGCAGUGGGUACGGGCAGACUAGAGUGCGGUAGGGGAGAUUGGAAUUCCUGGUGUAGCGGUGGAAUGCGCAGAUAUCAGGAGGAACACCGAUGGCGAAGGCAGAUCUCUGGGCCGUAACUGACGCUGAGGAGCGAAAGCAUGGGGAGCGAACAGG
RNAcentral lists this ribosomal RNA (253 nucleotides) under uncultured bacterium. RNAcentral describes it as "partial 16S ribosomal RNA". It matches the Rfam family "Bacterial small subunit ribosomal RNA", at positions 524 to 776 of the family's 1533-position model. The record is from RNAcentral.